CAGGAGGUAGAAGCAAAGGCUUAAGGUAACCUUCAACUUCAUAGGGAGUUCAAGGCUAGCCUGUCGCAAAACAAAACAGUAUUGUAGCACUGUCACUUACAGAGACCUUGCCUCUUGGUGGACUUUGUGUUAGCAUUCUGUGUGAGGGAGCUCCCCCCUUCCAUGUCUACUCUUUGCUCACCUUUAGUCAAGAACUGUUACAGCUGGAAUGACACUGUGCCCCAUAGUCUCAGAUGUUUGGAUUCUUGAUCCCAGUUGGUGGCUGUUUGGGGAGGUUUAAAAAGAGGUGCCUCGUUGAGGAGAAAGCAUGUCACUGGGGGUGGGCUUUGAGAUGUCAAAGCCUCGUGCUGUUUCCAGUCCUCUGCUCCAGCCUUGCAGUUCAAGAUGUGAGACCUCAGCUUUUGCUCCAGCCACCAUGCCUGCUGCUGCCACCACUGCUGCUGCCACUGCCGCUGCCGCCAUACUUCCCCGCCACAGUUGACUUAGUCCUCUGGAACCGUAAGCCAAAUAAACCUUUUCUUCUAUAAGUUGCUUUAGUCGUUGUGUUUUAUCACAGCAACAGAAAAGUAACAGUAUAGUUGUUAUUAAGAUUUCAAUGUAAUGAUUAGAACAGUUUUCCAGUAAAGUAAAUACUGUGCCCUUUUCUCUGGCACUUUUCAUAUUGCUUAAACAUUUCGUAUUAAUUGUUUAAGACAGAUUGUUUGUCCAUUAAAGCAGCUCUUUCUUAU
This 728-nucleotide long non-coding RNA is filed under the name Rattus norvegicus (Norway rat). RNAcentral describes it as "long non-coding RNA NONRATT001153". Lineage: Eukaryota; Metazoa; Chordata; Mammalia; Rodentia; Muridae. The record is from RNAcentral.